GCGAGCGGUUUCGAUGAAGUUUUCGGAUGGAAUUGAAAUUGACUUAGCGGCGGACGGGUGAGUAACGCGUGGGUAACCUGCCUUACACUGGGGGAUAACAGUUAGAAAUGACUGCUAAUACCGCAUAAGCGCACAGGGCCGCAUGGUCUGGUGUGAAAAACUCCGGUGGUGUAAGAUGGACCCGCGUCUGAUUAGGUAGUUGGUGGGGUAACGGCCCACCAAGCCGACGAUCAGUAGCCGACCUGAGAGGGUGACCGGCCACAUUGGGACUGAGACACGGCCCAAACUCCUACGGGAGGCAGCAGUGGGGAAUAUUGGACAAUGGGCGAAAGCCUGAUCCAGCGACGCCGCGUGAGUGAAGAAGUAUUUCGGUAUGUAAAGCUCUAUCAGCAGGGAAGAAAAUGACGGUACCUGACUAAGAAGCCCCGGCUAACUACGUGCCAGCAGCCGCGGUAAUACGUAGGGGGCAAGCGUUAUCCGGAUUUACUGGGUGUAAAGGGAGCGUAGACGGUUAAGCAAGUCUGAAGUGAAAGCCCGGGGCUCAACCCCGGUACUGCUUUGGAAACUGUUUGACUUGAGUGCAGGAGAGGUAAGUGGAAUUCCUAGUGUAGCGGUGAAAUGCGUAGAUAUUAGGAGGAACACCAGUGGCGAAGGCGGCUUACUGGACUGUAACUGACGU
This 679-nucleotide ribosomal RNA is filed under the name uncultured bacterium. RNAcentral describes it as "bacterial SSU rRNA". It matches the Rfam family "Bacterial small subunit ribosomal RNA", at positions 62 to 746 of the family's 1533-position model. The record is from RNAcentral.